Molecule: long non-coding RNA, 4291 nt
Filed under: Triticum aestivum (bread wheat)
Lineage: Eukaryota; Viridiplantae; Streptophyta; Magnoliopsida; Poales; Poaceae
Description: long non-coding RNA (TAES_LNC012417)
Source: RNAcentral
GUACCUGGUUGCGAUGAAGCUAAACAAGAAAUAAUUCUAUCACUUAUUACCUUUGUCCUUCAAAUUUGAGUAUAGGCCUGCGAAAUAAUGAAUAUUUGUGUCUCAUUGCUCCAGCAUGGUCAAUAAAGAUAUGUUGACCCAGGAAAUGUGGGUUUAUCAUAGGUCCUACUGUAUACGUUGAUAUAUGAAAUAUGAUAUUUACGGUUAUAUGCUAUCACUUAUUGCCUUUGUCCUUUGCAUUGAGUAUAGGCCUGUGAAAUAAUGGUGUAUUUGUGUGUUGAUUCGUCUGUUUUCCUUCAUGUUCUGGUUCUAAGGUACCAGGACAGACCCAGAGUUAUUUGUAAAAAAAUGCGUUCCAAUGUACCAAUAUUUUGUAUCCUUUCUAAUGCUUAAAAAAGAGGCGAAUAAUUCUUUUAUAAUAUGUAAUAUAUGACAUGUGUAACACACCUUAAGAGACUACUAAGUUAUCCUGUAUAAUUGGCACGCCCUACUUUUGUAGUAAUAAAUAUAUCAGGUGCUGCUCCAUACAGGUGAUACAUUGCAUUUACCAUAGUAUUUGAUUACAUAUGAUAACAUAAAAUCUGUUUUUUCCUUAGCGGUUCGGCACAUUAGUACAUAGAAACAGCGUACAGGCAAAUUGAUUAGAUGCAUUAGUUAAGAACACUGAUUUUUUUGGAAAGCUUCAUCAUGACAUCGAUAUUGGUUUCGCCUUACUACCACUCAGAGGUUGGAUGGAGCAUCGAGGAUUUCAGGCUUGGGGUGGCCACGUGUUGCAGGAUAGCAGGAAGAGUUGGAUGUGUUCUGCAGAGACGAGGUGAUCAAUGUCGUUGCCGCCAGGUAGCUGAAGUACAAAACUUCUAAAUUUCCUCAUUUAUUUAUCCUCAUAGUUGGUUCCCUUGAUACUUUUUCUUAGAAACAUGAUCAAAGAUACAAAAAGUUUUACUUCUCAAGCAGAAGUGGCAGUAUAGUGUGCAUGUCGUAUUGCAAGUAGAUUUUAUAGAUACCAAUAGAAAUAAUAACUUGGGAUUUAUUUCUGUUCAACCUCUGUGAUCUAGAUGAGCAAAGCAACAACUUUGGCUUUAUUUCUUUGUGAUGUAGAUGAGAAAAAUAGUACCUUGGAUUUUAAUUCUAUUCUCUAUGAUGUAGAUUAGCAAGAUUUCUAACCAACAAAGUAAUUUAUUUUAGUAUGGUUUUGUCACUAUGAUUGGUAAUAUGAAGUUUAUUUAUUCUAGGUUCCUAUCUUUAGACAGUCACAUCCACGUUCGUACUUUUAGAAUAGUUGUUGCAACGGGGAAGAGCAUUUUUGCAAUAGCAAGAUAUCAGGACCCAAUGGGCAUAGGCCGAACCAACCACCAUCACUAUUGCUUCAGGAUUAGAUAGCCAACUUCCACUCACGAGGUGAGUUUGCUUACUCUACUUUCAGUGUACUGUGCAGAUAUGUUGGUUAGAAAUUUUGCUAUGUGUCUGUCAAGUUGAUUAGAUACGAAAAAUAUGCUCUAUAAUACCCACAUAAUACUUGUUUAAAUUGGCUUUUCCCUGGUUCAUCAGUGCACACAUGAAACCGGUAAUAAGAAGAGAAUCACCUGAUUUUUUAUAGUCUAUUUUAGUAAGCAUGUUCAUAAUAUUAGGAUAGUUUAAUUUGAGAACAAUCGGCUGGAGGAACGAUGUAAUUUGAUACUCUGUUAUGUUGAUCUCCAGAGAAAUUUGGUUUUUGGUUUUUCAUUGAUGUACGUUAAUCUGUUGUGAAUCUUGUUUGCUUGCACCAAUUAUAUGUGUAACAAUUAGAGGGGAACUUUUGGAACUCAUACAUUCUAUUUCAGUUAAUGUUCAAAGCAACUUUCCUGUGUGAAUCUGAUAAUCUUACUGAAACCUGUGUUUCAUUGUGUAUAUUCAGCCUCUCGAGUCAAGUUUCAGACGAUCAUGUAUCCCCUUGAUAUUCACUGGAUGGAAUCCCCUAUUUUACUCAGACUGAACCUUCUACAAACAUCAGAAAAGCAACAGUAAUAAAGAUGGACAGAAAUUCCAAAAAUAAGGUUAGUUCUUGUUUGUUCCGUAUCAUUCUCUUUACCGUUCCUUUUGGUACUAUACUCCAAAAAAGAGGCAAUCGGAAAUAUUUAGGUCCACUGAAAAGUAAUUCUGGAGCUCGCAGAGUUCUCAUUUUUCAGAUUUGUAGUAGUAUUCGCUUUUGGUUUACAUGAUAUUGGCUGUAUCUCCCUGACAACUGCUCUUUGGUUGGUGUAGGUGUUUUUUUAUGGAUGUACCUGGUUGCGAUGAAGCUAAACAAGAAAUAAUGCUAUCACUUAUUACCUUUGUCCUUCAAAUUUGAGUAUAGGCCUGCGAAAUAAUGAAUAUUUGUGUCUCAUUGCUCCAGCAUGGUCAAUAAAGAUAUGUUGACCCAGGAAAUGUGGGUUUAUCAUAGGUCCUACUGUAUACGUUGAUAUAUGAAAUAUGACAUUUACGGUUAUAUGCUAUCACUUAUUGCCUUUGUCCUUUGCAUUGAGUAUAGGCCUGUGAAAUAAUGGUGUAUUUGUGUGUUGAUUCGUCUGUUUUCCUUCAUGUUCUGGUUCUAAGGUACCAGCACAGACCCAGAGUUAUUUGCAAAAAAAUGCGUUCCAAUGUACCAAUAUUUUGUAUCCUUUCUAAUGCUUAAAAAAGAGGCGAAUAAUUAUUUUAUAAUAUGUAAUAUAUGACAUGUGUAACGCACCUUAAGAGACUACUAAGUUAUCCUGUAUAAUUGGCACGCCCUACUUUUGUAGUAAUAAAUAUAUCAGGUGCUGCUCCAUACAGGUGAUACAUUGCAUUUACCAUAGUAUUUGAUUACAUAUGAUAACAUAAAAUCUGUUUUUUCCUUAGCGGUUCGGCACAUUAGUGCAUAGAAACAGAGUACAGGCAAAUUGAUUAGAUGCAUUAGUUAAGAACACUGAUUUUUUUGGAAAGCUUCAUCAUGACAUCGAUAUUGGUUUCGCCUUACUACCACUCCGAGGUUGGAUGGAGCAUCGAGGAUUUCAGGCUUGGGGUGGCCACGUGUUGCAGGAUAGCAGGAAGAGUUGGAUGUGUUCUGCAGAGACGAGGUGAUCAAUGUCGUUGCCGCCAGGUAGCUGAAGUACAAAACUUCUAAAUUUGCUCAUUUAUUUAUCCUCAUAGUUGGUUCCCUUGAUACUUUUUCUUAGAAACAUGAUCAAAGAUACAAAAAGUUUUACUUCUGAAGCAGAAGUGGUAGUAUAGUGUGCAUGUCGUAUUGCAAGUAGAUUUUAUAGAUACCAAUAGAAAUAAUAACUUGGGAUUUAUUUCUGUUCAACCUCUGUGAUCUAGAUGAGCAAAGCAACAACUUUGGCUUUAUUUCUUUGUGAUGUAGAUGAGAAAAAUAGUACCUUGGAUUUUAAUUCUGUUCUCUAUGAUGUAGAUUAGCAAGAUUUCUAACCAACAAAGUAAUUUAUUUUAGUAUGGUUUUGUCACUAUGAUUGGUAAUAUGAAGUUUAUUUAUUCUAGGUUCCUAUCUUUAGACAGUCACAUCCACGUUCGUACUUUUAGAAUAGUUGUUGCAACGGGGAAGAGCAUUUUUGCAAUAGCAAGAUAUCAGGACCCAAUGGGCAUAGGCCGAACCAACCACCAUCACUAUUAUUUCAGGAUUAGAUAGCCAACUUCCACUCAUGAGGUGAGUUUGCUUACUCUACUUUCAGUGUACUGUGCAGAUAUGUUGGUUAGAAAUUUUGCUAUGUGCCUGUCAAGUUGAUUAGAUAUGAAAAAUAUGCUCUAUAAUACCCACAUAAUACUUGUUUAAAUUGGCUUUUCCCUGGUUCAUCAGUGCACACAUGAAACCGGUAAUAAGAAGAGAAUCACCUGAUUUUUUUAUAGUCUAUUUUAGUAAGCAUGUUCAUAAUAUUAGGAUAGUUUAAUUUGAGAACAAUUGGCUCGAGGAACGAUGUAAUUUGAUACUCUGUUAUGUUGAUCUCCAGAGAAAUUUGGUUUUUGGUUUUUCAUUGAUGUACGUUAAUCUGUUGUGAAUCUUGUUUGCUUGCACCAAUUAUAUGUGUAACAAUUAGAGGGGAAAUUUUGGAACUCAUACAUUCUAUUUCAGUUAAUGUUCAAAGCAACUUUCCUGUGUGAAUCUGAUAAUCUUACUAAAACCUGUGUUUCAUUGUGUAUAUUCAGCCUGUCGAGUCAAGUUUCAGACGAUCAUGUAUCCCCUUGAUAUUCACUGGAUGGAAUCCCCGGUUUUACUCAGACUGAACCUUCUACAAACAUCGGAAAAGCAACAGUAAUAAAGAUGGACAGAAAUUCCAAAAAUAAG